RNAcentral lists this ribosomal RNA (484 nucleotides) under uncultured bacterium. RNAcentral describes it as "partial 16S ribosomal RNA". It matches the Rfam family "Bacterial small subunit ribosomal RNA", at positions 30 to 507 of the family's 1533-position model. The record is from RNAcentral.
AUUGAACGCUGGCGGCAGGCCUAACACAUGCAAGUCGAGCGGAUGAAGGGAGCUUGCUCCUGGAUUCAGCGGCGGACGGGUGAGUAAUGCCUAGGAAUCUGCCUGGUCGUGGGGGAUAACGUCCGGAAACGGGUGCUAAUACCGCAUAAGUCCUGAGGGAGAAAGUGGGGGAUGUUCGGACCUCACGCUAUCAGAUGAGCCUAGGUCGGGUUAGCUAGUUGGUGGGGUAAAGGCCUACCAAGGCGACGAUCCGUAACUGGUCUGAGAGGAUGAUCAGUCACACUGGAACUGAGACACGGUCCAGACUCCUACGGGAGGCAGCAGUGGGGAAUAUUGGACAAUGGGCGAAAGCCUGAUCCAGCCAUGCCGCGUGUGUGAAGAAGGUCUUCGGAUUGUAAAGCACUUUAAGUUGGGAGGAAGGGCAGUAAGUUAAUACCUUGCUGUUUUGACGUUACCAACAGAAUAAGCACCGGCUAACUUCGUG